ACUCCUACGGGAGGCAGCAGUGGGGAAUAUUGCACAAUGGGCGCAAGCCUGAUGCAGCCAUGCCGCGUGUGUGAAGAAGGCCUUCGGGUUGUAAAGCACUUUCAGUCGUGAGGAAGGUAGUGUAGUUAAUAGCUGCAUUAUUUGACGUUAGCGACAGAAGAAGCACCGGCUAACUCCGUGCCAGCAGCCGCGGUAAUACGGAGGGUGCGAGCGUUAAUCGGAAUUACUGGGCGUAAAGCGCAUGCAGGUGGUUUGUUAAGUCAGAUGUGAAAGCCCGGGGCUCAACCUCGGAAUAGCAUUUGAAACUGGCAGACUAGAGUACUGUAGAGGGGGUAGAAUUUCAGGUGUAGCGGUGAAAUGCGUAGAGAUCUGAAGGAAUACCGGUGGCGAAGGCGGCCCCUGGACAGAUACUGACACUCAGAUGCGAAAGCGUGGGAGCAAACAGGAUUAGAU
This 453-nucleotide ribosomal RNA is filed under the name uncultured bacterium. RNAcentral's name for it is "bacterial SSU rRNA". It matches the Rfam family "Bacterial small subunit ribosomal RNA", at positions 335 to 783 of the family's 1533-position model. The record is from RNAcentral.